CCUGGCGGCGAUAGCGCGGUGGUCCCACCUGACCCCAUGCCGAACUCAGAAGUGAAACGCCGUAGCGCCGAUGGUAGUGUGGGGUCUCCCCAUGCGAGAGUAGGGAACUGCCAGGC
Plesiomonas shigelloides 302-73 is the source of this 116-nucleotide ribosomal RNA. The record is from Rfam. Lineage: Bacteria; Pseudomonadati; Pseudomonadota; Gammaproteobacteria; Enterobacterales; Enterobacteriaceae.